GGAAAUGGAGGGCCAAUGGCCCAAAAAAAUAUACAACCUAUGCAUUUUGAGGACAGAUUCACCGCUCAUUAUUUUUCAAGCUAUUGUGCCUUCUUUUUUUUUUUUCCUAUUCAGAAAAUAAUAAUGUAUGAAAAUAUUAAUCCUUAAUAGGAAUAAUGAUGAAUCAAAUAUAGUUCAGAUAAACUAAUACUCGUAGUUGUCCUCUAAUUAAAACCCCACAUCCGUCUAAGGUCGGAUCGGAUAGACAAUAUGAAUU
This 256-nucleotide long non-coding RNA is filed under the name Elaeis guineensis (African oil palm). RNAcentral's name for it is "long non-coding RNA (EGUI_LNC016605)". Lineage: Eukaryota; Viridiplantae; Streptophyta; Magnoliopsida; Arecales; Arecaceae. The record is from RNAcentral.